GAAGAAGAAGCAGGAAGGAUAAAAGAUUGCUGGGACAACCAGGAAGCACCUGCUCUCUCCACGUGUAGUAAUGCCAAUA
This 79-nucleotide unclassified non-coding RNA is filed under the name Homo sapiens (human). Its description in RNAcentral is "cytoplasmic polyadenylation element binding protein 1 (ENSG00000277445.4)". Lineage: Eukaryota; Metazoa; Chordata; Mammalia; Primates; Hominidae. The record is from RNAcentral.